UGCCAGACUCCUACGGGAGGCAGCAGUGGGGAAUAUUGGACAAUGGGGGGAACCCUGAUCCAGCGACGCCGCGUGAGUGAAGAAGUAUUUCGGUAUGUAAAGCUCUAUCAGCAGGGAAGAAAGAAAUGACGGUACCUGACUAAGAAGCCCCGGCUAACUACGUGCCAGCAGCCGCGGUAAUACGUAGGGGGCAAGCGUUAUCCGGAUUUACUGGGUGUAAAGGGAGCGUAGACGGUUACGCAAGUCUGGAGUGAAAGGCGGGGGCCCAACCCCCGGACUGCUUUGGAAACUGCCAUGCUAGAGUGCUGGAGAGGUAAGCGGAAUUCCUAGUGUAGCGGUGAAAUGCGUAGAUAUUAGGAGGAACACCAGUGGCGAAGGCGGCUUACUGGACAGUAACUGACGUUGAGGCUCGAAAGCGUGGGGAGCAAACAGGAUUAGAUACCCUGGUAC
RNAcentral lists this ribosomal RNA (450 nucleotides) under uncultured bacterium. Its description in RNAcentral is "bacterial SSU rRNA". It matches the Rfam family "Bacterial small subunit ribosomal RNA", at positions 329 to 793 of the family's 1533-position model. The record is from RNAcentral.